UACGUAGGGUGCAAGCGUUAAUCGGAAUUACUGGGCGUAAAGCGUGCGCAGGCGGUUCUAUAAGACAGAUGUGAAAUCCCCGGGCUCAACCUGGGAACUGCAUUUGUGACUGUAGAGCUGGAGUGCGGCAGAGGGGGAUGGAAUUCCGCGUGUAGCAGUGAAAUGCGUAGAUAUGCGGAGGAACACCGAUGGCGAAGGCAAUCCCCUGGGCCUGCACUGACGCUCAUGCACGAAAGUGUGGGGAGCAAACAGG
This 253-nucleotide ribosomal RNA is filed under the name uncultured bacterium. Its description in RNAcentral is "partial 16S ribosomal RNA". It matches the Rfam family "Bacterial small subunit ribosomal RNA", at positions 524 to 776 of the family's 1533-position model. The record is from RNAcentral.